This 253-nucleotide ribosomal RNA is filed under the name uncultured bacterium. RNAcentral describes it as "partial 16S ribosomal RNA". It matches the Rfam family "Bacterial small subunit ribosomal RNA", at positions 524 to 776 of the family's 1533-position model. The record is from RNAcentral.
UACGGAGGGGGCGAGCGUUAUUCGGAAUUAUUGGGCGUAAAGGGCGCGUAGGCGGCUUGACAAGUCAAAGGUGAAAUCCCUCGGCUCAACUGAGGAACUGCCUUUGAAACUGUCUGGCUUGAGGCCGGGAGGGGGUAGCGGAAUUCCCAGUGUAGCGGUGAAAUGCGUAGAUAUUGGGAGGAACACCAGUGGCGAAGGCGGCUACCUGGACCGGUUCUGACGCUGAUGCGCGAAAGCAUGGGGAGCGAACGGG